UGGGAACGUGCCCAAAAGGUACGGAACAACUCCGGGAAACUGGAGCUAAUACCGUAUGUGCCCGAAAGGGGAAAGAUUCAUCGCCUUUGGAUCGGCCCGCGUCUGAUUAGCUAGUUGGCGGGGUAAUGGCCCACCAAGGCGAUGAUCAGUAGCUGGUCUGAGAGGAUGACCAGCCACACUGGAACUGAGACACGGCCCAGACUCCUACGGGAGGCAG
Molecule: ribosomal RNA, 217 nt
Filed under: uncultured bacterium
Lineage: Bacteria
Description: partial 16S ribosomal RNA
Rfam family: Bacterial small subunit ribosomal RNA
Source: RNAcentral